GACGAACGCUGGCGGCGUGCUUAACACAUGCAAGUCGUACGGUAAGGCCCUUUCGGGGGUACACGAGUGGCGAACGGGUGAGUAACACGUGAGUAACCUGCCCACAACUUUGGGAUAACGCUAGGAAACUGGUGCUAAUACUGGAUAUGUGCUCCUGCUGCAUGGUGGGGGUUGGAAAGCUCCGGCGGUUGUGGAUGGACUCGCGGCCUAUCAGCUUGUUGGUGGGGUAGUGGCCUACCAAGGCGGCGACGGGUAGCCGGCCUGAGAGGGUGACCGGCCACAGUGGGACUGAGAUACGGCCCAGACUCCGACGGGAGGCAGCAGGGGGGAAUAUUGCACAAUGGGCGCAAGCCGGAUGCAGCAACGCCGCGUGCGGGAUGACGGCCUUCGGGUUGUAAACCGCUUUCAGCAGGGACGAAGCUUUUUGUGACGGUACCUGCAGAAGAAGCACCGGCUAACUACGUG
Molecule: ribosomal RNA, 465 nt
Filed under: uncultured bacterium
Lineage: Bacteria
Description: partial 16S ribosomal RNA
Rfam family: Bacterial small subunit ribosomal RNA
Source: RNAcentral